UGGCAAUAGGCUAUGGUUAACCGUGCCAA
RNAcentral lists this small RNA (29 nucleotides) under Bombyx mori (domestic silkworm). RNAcentral's name for it is "ovarian small RNA-34722". Lineage: Eukaryota; Metazoa; Arthropoda; Insecta; Lepidoptera; Bombycidae. The record is from RNAcentral.